This 406-nucleotide ribosomal RNA is filed under the name uncultured bacterium. RNAcentral's name for it is "partial 16S ribosomal RNA". It matches the Rfam family "Bacterial small subunit ribosomal RNA", at positions 30 to 526 of the family's 1533-position model. The record is from RNAcentral.
AUUGAACGCUGGCGGCAGGCCUAACACAUGCAAGUCGAACGAGUGGCGGACGGGUGAGUAAUGUCUGGGAAACUGCCUGAUGGAGGGGGAUAACUACUGGAAACGGUAGCUAAUAACGCAUACCAUCGGAUGUGCCCAGAUGGGAUUAGCUAGUAGGUGGGGUAAAGGCUCACCUAGGCGACGAUCCAUAGCUGGUCUGAGAGGAUGACCGGGCACACUGGAACUGAGACACGGUCCAGAAUGCUAAGGUAGGCAGCAGUGGGGAAUAGUGCACAAUGGGCGCAAGCCUGAUGCAGCCAUGCCGCGUGUAUGAAGAAGGCCUUCGGGUUGUAAAGUAAUUUCAGCGGGGAGGCGUUACCCGCAUAAGAAGCACCGGCUAACUCCGUGCCAGCAGCCGCGGUAAUAC